AGAUGUGAUUGGAGGUGGUGAUUGGUGGAUGGCUGUGCUGAAGGAUAGAUGUGAUUGGAGGUGGUGAUUGGUGGAUGGCUGUGCUGAAGGAUAGAUGUGAUUGGAGGUGGUGAUUGGUGGAUGGCUGUGCUGAAGGACAGAUGUGAUUGGAGGUGGUGAUUGGUGGAUGGCUGUGCUGAAGGACAGAUGUGAUUGGAGGUGGUGAUUGGUGGAUGGCUGUGCUGAAGGACAGAUGUGAUUGGAGGUGGUGAUUGGUGGAUGGCUGUGCUGAAGGACAGAUGUGAUUGGAGGUGGUGAUUGGUGGAUGGCUGUGCUGAAGGAUAGAUGUGAUUGGAGGUGGUGAUUGGUGGAUGGCUGUGCUGAAGGAUAGAUGUGAUUGGAGGUGGUGAUUGGUGGAUGGCUGUGCUGAAGGACAGAUGUGAUUGGAGGUGGUGAUUGGUGGAUGGCUGUGCUGAAGGAUAGAUGUGAUUGGAGGUGGUGAUUGGUGGAUGGCUGUGCUGAAGGACAGAUGUGAUUGGAGGUGGUGAUUGGUGGAUGGCUGUGCUGAAGGACAGAUGUGAUUGGAGGUGGUGAUUGGUGGAUGGCUGUGCUGAAGGAUAGAUGUGAUUGGAGGUGGUGAUUGGUGGAUGGCUGUGCUGAAGGACAGAUGUGAUUGGAGGUGGUGAUUGGUGGAUGGCUGUGCUGAAGGACAGAUGUGAUUGGAGGUGGUGAUUGGUGGAUGGCUGUGCUGAAGGAUAGAUGUGAUUGGAGGUGGUGAUUGGUGGAUGGCUGUGCUGAAGGACAGAUGUGAUUGGAGGUGGUGAUUGGUGGAUGGCUGUGCUGAAGGACAGAUGUGAUUGGAGGUGGUGAUUGGUGGAUGGCUGUGCUGAAGGACAGAUGUGAUUGGAGGUGGUGAUUGGUGGAUGGCUGUGCUGAAGGACAGAUGUGAUUGGAGGUGGUGAUUGGUGGAUGGCUGUGCUGAAGGAUAGAUGUGAUUGGAGGUGGUGAUUGGUGGAUGGCUGUGCUGAAGGACAGAUGUGAUUGGAGGUGGUGAUUGGUGGAUGGCUGUGCUGAAGGACAGAUGUGAUUGGAGGUGGUGAUUGGUGGAUGGCUGUGCUGAAGGAUAGAUGUGAUUGGAGGUGGUGAUUGGUGGAUGGCUGUGCUGAAGGAUAGAUGUGA
This is a long non-coding RNA of Oncorhynchus keta (chum salmon), 1158 nucleotides long. RefSeq lists it as uncharacterized. The transcript is spliced from 3 exons. The record is from RefSeq and is a predicted model, not a curated record. NCBI's taxonomy places the organism in Eukaryota, Metazoa, Chordata, Actinopteri, Salmoniformes, Salmonidae.